CCUACGGUCAGUUACUUGUGUCUGGCCGGACUGCCGUUUUACGGAGGAAGGCGGGGAUGACGUCAAGUCCGCAUGGCUCUUACGCCUGGGGCGACACACACGCUACAAUGCCAUCGACAGUGCGCAGCGACCGCGCGAGCGGGAGCAAAUCGCCAAACGAUGGCCCAGUGCAGAUUGGGGGCUGCAACUCGCCCCCAUGAAGGCGGAGUUGCUAGUAACCGCGUAUCAGCCAUGGCGCGGUGAAUA
Molecule: ribosomal RNA, 246 nt
Filed under: uncultured bacterium
Lineage: Bacteria
Description: partial 16S ribosomal RNA
Rfam family: Bacterial small subunit ribosomal RNA
Source: RNAcentral